GGGGUUUGUAGAGUCUCUCUCUCUGGAGAUAUUCAAGACCUACCUGAACAUCUUCCUGUGUGAUCUGGCAUAGGUGAUCCUGCUCUCCAGGGAUGCUGAACUGGAUGAGCUUUCGACGUCCCUCCCAGCCCCCAACAUUCUGUGAUUCUGCGCUAGGGCUCUAUGCCUGUACCAGUCUUGCCACCAACUGGCAUCCAAGCAACAUGCAGGAGGAAGAGGAAAGUGCCAAAUACUGGAGAUUAAGAUUAACAGAAGAAGAAUCUAGGCCAUAUUAAAAUUGACCUUCCUUAUGAGCUUUUCAAACAGCUUUGUUUCUGGAAGCUAGAGUUGCCACAGUUGGUCCAUAGGUCAGGCUGUGGUGCUUUGCCUGACCCAGGCUGAGGUGAAGAUGGCAGGAUUUGGCCUGCAUGUGUGCUCCACAAAGAACAUUGACUCUGCAGGAAUCAAUACAGAGUAUGUACAAUGACUGAGAUACAUCAUAAUAAAGGAGUAAUUACGUUAAA
This is a long non-coding RNA of Pogoniulus pusillus (Red-fronted tinkerbird), 503 nucleotides long. RefSeq lists it as uncharacterized. The transcript has 2 exons. The record is from RefSeq and is a predicted model, not a curated record. Lineage: Eukaryota; Metazoa; Chordata; Aves; Piciformes; Lybiidae.